Molecule: ribosomal RNA, 420 nt
Filed under: uncultured bacterium
Lineage: Bacteria
Description: bacterial SSU rRNA
Rfam family: Bacterial small subunit ribosomal RNA
Source: RNAcentral
GAGGAAUAUUGGUCAAUGGGCGAAAGCCUGAACCAGCCAAGUAGCGUGCAGGACGACGGCCCUAUGGGUUGUAAACUGCUUUUAUAAGGGAAUAAAGUGAGUCUCGUGAGACUUUUUGCAUGUACCUUAUGAAUAAGGACCGGCUAAUUCCGUGCCAGCAGCCGCGGUAAUACGGAAGGUCCGGGCGUUAUCCGGAUUUAUUGGGUUUAAAGGGAGCGUAGGCCGGAGAUUAAGCGUGUUGUGAAAUGUAGACGCUCAACGUCUGCACUGCAGCGCGAACUGGUUUCCUUGAGUACGCACAAAGUGGGCGGAAUUCGUGGUGUAGCGGUGAAAUGCUUAGAUAUCACGAAGAACUCCGAUUGCGAAGGCAGCUCACUGGAGCGCAACUGACGCUGAAGCUCGAAAGUGCGGGUAUCGAAC